UGAUCCUCGAUGGUAACUCUGUAGCUUUUAGAGCCUUUUAUUUUUUCUAUGAAAGUGGAGG
This 61-nucleotide small RNA is filed under the name Lactobacillus acidophilus. RNAcentral's name for it is "crRNA_32". Lineage: Bacteria; Bacillati; Bacillota; Bacilli; Lactobacillales; Lactobacillaceae. The record is from RNAcentral.